This 498-nucleotide ribosomal RNA is filed under the name uncultured bacterium. RNAcentral's name for it is "partial 16S ribosomal RNA". It matches the Rfam family "Bacterial small subunit ribosomal RNA", at positions 30 to 523 of the family's 1533-position model. The record is from RNAcentral.
AUUGAACGCUGGCGGCAUGCCUUACACAUGCAAGUCGAACGGUAACAGGUCUUCGGAUGCUGACGAGUGGCGAACGGGUGAGUAAUACAUCGGAACGUGCCCGAUCGUGGGGGAUAACGGAGCGAAAGCUUUGCUAAUACCGCAUACGAUCUACGGAUGAAAGCAGGGGACCGCAAGGCCUUGCGCGGACGGAGCUGCCGAUGGCAGAUUAGGUAGGUGGUGGGAUAAAAGCUUACCAAGCCGACGAUCUGUAGCUGGUCUGAGAGGACGACCAGCCACACUGGGACUGGGACACGGCCCAGACUCCUACGGGAGGCAGCAGUGGGGAAUUUUGGACAAUGGGCGCAAGCCUGAUCCAGCCAUGCCGCGUGCAGGAUGAAGGCCUUCGGGUUGUAAACUGCUUUUGUACGGAACGAAAAGACUCUUUCUAAUAAAGAGGGUCCAUGACGGUACCGUAAGAAUAAGCACCGGCUAACUACGUGCCAGCCGCCGCGGUAA